CGUGUAGGCGGUCAGGUUAGUGGGACGUGAAAUGCCCCGGCUCACCCGGGGACCUGCGUCCCAAACUGCCUGGCUUGAGUAUGGGAGAGGAUGAGGGAAUUCCUGGUGUAGCGGUGAAAUGCGUAGAUAUCAGGAGGAACACCGGUGGCGAAGGCGCUCAUCUGGCCCAAUACUGACGCUGAGGCGCGAAAGCUAGGGGAGCAAACGGGAUUAGAUACCCCGGUAGUCCUAGCCGUAAACGGUGAUCACUAGGUGUUGGAGGCAUAGACCCCUCCAGUGCCGUAGCUAACGCACUAAGUGAUCCGCCUGGGGAGUACGGCCGACAAGGUUGAA
RNAcentral lists this ribosomal RNA (333 nucleotides) under uncultured bacterium. RNAcentral describes it as "bacterial SSU rRNA". It matches the Rfam family "Bacterial small subunit ribosomal RNA", at positions 568 to 898 of the family's 1533-position model. The record is from RNAcentral.